UAACAGGCCCUGCUAAAUGAAGCUGC
This 26-nucleotide non-coding RNA is filed under the name Mus musculus (house mouse). The record is from RNAcentral. Lineage: Eukaryota; Metazoa; Chordata; Mammalia; Rodentia; Muridae.